AACGAACGCUGGCGGCAUGCCUAACACAUGCCAGUCGAACGAGACCUUCGGGUCUAGUGGCGCACGGGUGCAUAACGCGUGGGAACCUGCCCUUAGGUUCGGAAUAACUCCCCGAAAGGGGUGCUAAUACCGGAUAAUGUCUUCGGACCAAAGAUUUAUCGCCUUUGGAUGGGCCCGCGUUGGAUUAGCUAGUUGGUAGGGUAAAAGCCUACCAAGGCGACGAUCCAUAGCUGGUCUGAGAGGAUGAUCAGCCACACUGGGACUGAGACACGGCCCAGACUCCUACGGGAGGCAGCAGUGGGGAAUAUUGGACAAUGGGCGAAAGCCUGAUCCAGCAAUGCCGCGUGAGUGAUGAAGGCCUUAGGGUUGUAAAGCUCUUUUACCCGGGAUGAUAAUGACAGUACCGGGAGAAUAAGCUCCGGCUAACUCCGUG
This 433-nucleotide ribosomal RNA is filed under the name uncultured bacterium. RNAcentral's name for it is "partial 16S ribosomal RNA". It matches the Rfam family "Bacterial small subunit ribosomal RNA", at positions 29 to 507 of the family's 1533-position model. The record is from RNAcentral.